RNAcentral lists this ribosomal RNA (484 nucleotides) under uncultured bacterium. Its description in RNAcentral is "bacterial SSU rRNA". It matches the Rfam family "Bacterial small subunit ribosomal RNA", at positions 28 to 517 of the family's 1533-position model. The record is from RNAcentral.
GACGAACGCUGGCGGCGUGCUUAACACAUGCAAGUCGAGCGGUAAGGCCCUUUCGGGGGUACACGAGCGGCGAACGGGUGAGUAACACGUGGGUGACCUGCCCUCAGCUCUGGGAUAAGCCUGGGAAACCGGGUCUAAUACUGGAUAUGACUCCAUGACGCAUGUUGUGGGGUGGAAAGCCUUGUGCGGCUGAGGAUGGGCCCGCGGCCUAUCAGCUUGUUGGUGGGGUGANGGCCUACCAAGGCGACGACGGGUAGCCGGCCUGAGAGGGCGACCGGCCACACUGGGACUGAGACACGGCCCAGGCUCCUACGGGAGGCAGCAGUGGGGAAUCUUGCGCAAUGGGCGAAAGCCUGACGCAGCGACGCCGCGUGGGGAUGAAGGUCUUCGGAUUGUAAACCCCUUUCGGGAGGGAAGAUGGAACGAGCAAUCGUUCGGACGGUACCUCCAGAAGCAGCCACGGCUAACUUCGUGCCAGCAGCCG